GCGGAGGGAUCAUUACCGAGUUUACAACUCCCAAACCCCUGUGAACAUACCACUUGUUGCCUCGGCGGAUCAGCCCGCUCCCGGUAAAACGGGACGGCCCGCCAGAGGACCCCUAAACUCUGUUUCUAUAUGUAACUUCUGAGUAAAACCAUAAAUAAAUCAAAACUUUCAACAACGGAUCUCUUGGUUCUGGCAUCGAUGAAGAACGCAGCAAAAUGCGAUAAGUAAUGUGAAUUGCAGAAUUCAGUGAAUCAUCGAAUCUUUGAACGCACAUUGCGCCCGCCAGUAUUCUGGCGGGCAUGCCUGUUCGAGCGUCAUUUCAACCCUCAAGCACAGCUUGGUGUUGGGACUCGCGUUAAUUCGCGUUCCUCAAAUUGAUUGGCGGUCACGUCGAGCUUCCAUAGCGUAGUAGUAAAACCCUCGUUACUGGUAAUCGUCGCGGCCACGCCGUUAAACCCCAACUUCUGAAUGUUGACCUCGGAUCAGGUAGGAAU
RNAcentral lists this small RNA (494 nucleotides) under Fusarium oxysporum. Its description in RNAcentral is "eukaryotic LSU rRNA". The stretch from base 164 to 317 matches the Rfam family "5.8S ribosomal RNA". The record is from RNAcentral. Lineage: Eukaryota; Fungi; Ascomycota; Sordariomycetes; Hypocreales; Nectriaceae.